GACGAACGCUGGCGGCGUGCUUAACACAUGCAAGUCGAACGGAAAGGCCCCCACCUUGGUGGGGGUGCUCGAGUGGCGAACGGGUGAGUAACACGUGGGUGAUCUGCCCUGUACUUCGGGAUAAGCUUGGGAAACUGGGUCUAAUACCGGAUAGGACCAUGGUUUAGUGUCUCAUGGUGGAAAAAUUAUUGUUUUGGUGCAGGAUGAGCUCGCGGCCUAUCAGCUUGUUGGUGGGGUAAUGGCCUACCAAGGCGUCGACGGGUAGCCGGCCUGAGAGGGUGGACGGCCACAUUGGGACAGAGAUACGGCCCAGACUCCGACGGGAGGAAGCAGUGGGGAAUAUUGCACAAUGGGCGCAAGCCUGAUGCAGCGACGCCGCGUGGGGGAGGACGGCCUUCGGGUUGUAAACUCCUUUCGUUAGGGACGAAGCCACACCUUUUUUGGGUGUGGUGACGGUACCUUUGUUAAGAAGCACCGGCUAACUACGUG
This 489-nucleotide ribosomal RNA is filed under the name uncultured bacterium. RNAcentral's name for it is "partial 16S ribosomal RNA". It matches the Rfam family "Bacterial small subunit ribosomal RNA", at positions 28 to 507 of the family's 1533-position model. The record is from RNAcentral.